UGAGAGAAUGGAUAAUCCAAGAAAGCAGG
RNAcentral lists this non-coding RNA (29 nucleotides) under Mus musculus (house mouse). Lineage: Eukaryota; Metazoa; Chordata; Mammalia; Rodentia; Muridae. The record is from RNAcentral.